GACGAACGCUGGCGGCGUGCUUAACACAUGCAAGUCGAGCGGAAAGGCCCUUCGGGGUACUCGAGCGGCGAACGGGUGAGUAACACGUGAGCAACCUGCCCUUAGCUCUGGGAUAGCUCCGGGAAACCGGAAUUAAUACCGGAUAUUACGUCGGCCGACAUCGGCUGACGUGGAAAGAUUUAUCGGCUGAGGGUGGACUC
Molecule: ribosomal RNA, 200 nt
Filed under: uncultured bacterium
Lineage: Bacteria
Description: partial 16S ribosomal RNA
Rfam family: Bacterial small subunit ribosomal RNA
Source: RNAcentral